RNAcentral lists this ribosomal RNA (334 nucleotides) under Escherichia coli. RNAcentral's name for it is "partial 23S ribosomal RNA". It matches the Rfam family "Bacterial large subunit ribosomal RNA", at positions 2031 to 2364 of the family's 2925-position model. Lineage: Bacteria; Pseudomonadati; Pseudomonadota; Gammaproteobacteria; Enterobacterales; Enterobacteriaceae. The record is from RNAcentral.
ACUCAGUGAAAUUGAACUCGCUGUGAAGAUGCAGUGUACCCGCGGCAAGACGGAAAGACCCCGUGAACCUUUACUAUAGCUUGACACUGAACAUUGAGCCUUGAUGUGUAGGAUAGGUGGGAGGCUUUGAAGUGUGGACGCCAGUCUGCAUGGAGCCGGCCUUGAAAUACCACCCUUUAAUGUUUGAUGUUCUAACGUUGACCCGUAAUCCGGGUUGCGGACAGUGUCUGGUGGGUAGUUUGACUGGGGCGGUCUCCUCCUAAAGAGUAACGGAGGAGCACGAAGGUUGGCUAAUCCUGGUCGGACAUCAGGAGGUUAGUGCAAUGGCAUAAGC